This 459-nucleotide ribosomal RNA is filed under the name uncultured Syntrophus sp. Its description in RNAcentral is "bacterial SSU rRNA". It matches the Rfam family "Bacterial small subunit ribosomal RNA", at positions 925 to 1382 of the family's 1533-position model. Lineage: Bacteria; Pseudomonadati; Thermodesulfobacteriota; Syntrophia; Syntrophales; Syntrophaceae. The record is from RNAcentral.
ACAAGCGGUGGAGCAUGUGGUUUAAUUCGAUGCAACGCGAAGAACCUUACCUGGCUUGACAUCCCUGGAAUCCCCUGGAAACAGGGGAGUGCCCUUCGGGGAGCCAGGAGACAGGUGCUGCAUUGGCUGUCGUCAGCUCGUGUCGUGAGAUGUUGGGUUAAGUCCCGCAACGAGCGCAACCCUUGUCUUUAAUUGCCAUCAUUCAGUUGGGCACUUUAAAGAGACUGCCGGUGUUAAACCGGAGGAAGGUGGGGAUGACGUCAAGUCCUCAUGGCCUUUAUGCCCAGGGCUACACACGUGCUACAAUGGGUGGUACAAAGAGCAGCUAACUCGCGAGAGUAUGCAAAUCUCAAAAAGCCAUCCUCAGUUCGGAUUGGAGUCUGCAACUCGACUCCAUGAAGUUGGAAUCGCUAGUAAUCGCGGAUCAGCAUGCCGCGGUGAAUACCGUUCCCGGGUCUU